This 492-nucleotide ribosomal RNA is filed under the name uncultured bacterium. Its description in RNAcentral is "partial 16S ribosomal RNA". It matches the Rfam family "Bacterial small subunit ribosomal RNA", at positions 29 to 507 of the family's 1533-position model. The record is from RNAcentral.
AGUGAACGCUGGCGGUAAGCCUAACACAUGCAAGUCGAACGGCAGCACAGUAAGAGCUUGCUCUUACGGGUGGCGAGUGGCGGACGGGUGAGGAAUACAUCGGAAUCUACUUUUUCGUGGGGGAUAACGUAGAGAAACUUACGCUAAUACCGCAUACGACCUACGGGUGAAAGCAGGGGAUCUUCGGACCUUGCGCGAUUGAAUGAGCCGAUGUCGGAUUAGCUAGUUGGCGGGGUAAAGGCCCACCAAGGCGACGAUCCGUAGCUGGUCUGAGAGGAUGAUCAGCCACACUGGAACUGAGACACGGUCCAGACUCCUACGGGAGGCAGCAGUGGGGAAUAUUGGACAAUGGGCGCAAGCCUGAUCCAGCCAUACCGCGUGGGUGAAGAAGGCCUUCGGGUUGUAAAGCCCUUUUGUUGGGAAAGAAAAGCAGCAGGUUAAUACCCCGCUGUUCUGACGGUACCCAAAGAAUAAGCACCGGCUAACUUCGUG